UGAUGUUUUUCAUUCUUUUCUAGGUUUAAAAUGGAAGUAUGGUGUUUAAGUGAUACAAUGUACUCUGCUGGCAGAAAUUCAUCAUCAUGGCAUUGCUUUUAAUGAUUGUUUUGUGAUGAGGUUUUACCAGAUUUUAAGACCAAAUGUGGAGAACAUAACAAAAACUGUGCAUAAAAUAAACCAGUUUAAAAGCUACAUGUCUACUUCUAAAAGAACUAGAAAAAAGGGUUAAGAAAAUAAAAAAAAUUAAAGGAAAAUUGUGUUAAAGUAAAAAACUUGUCUUAUUUAUUUUCCUCAGGCUUCAAACUUUUAAGAUUAAGGAGAAAAUGUAAAAAUUGCUUAAGACUCUGAGAUAGAAUUUAGAUAUGAGCAACCCCUCUCCCCCCCCCCCCCCCCCCCCCCAUACAAUAUUUUUUAUACGACCGCAAAAAAAUUUUUGUGGUCGUAUAUUGGUAUGACGUUGGCGGCGUCGUCCGAAGACACAUUGGUUUUCGCACUCUAACUUUAGUUUAAGUGAAUGGAUCUCUAUGAAAUUUUACCACAAGGUUCAAUACCACAAAAGGAAGGUUGGGAUUGAUUUUGGGGGUUAUGGUACCAACAGUAAAGGAAUUCGGGGCCAAAAAGGGGCCAAAAAUAAGCAUUUUUAUACGCCCGUUUACGGGACGUAUUAUGGCAUACCGUUGUCCAUCCGUCCGUCUGUCCGUCGUCAACAUGUCGGCCAUUAACUCAAAAAUGCUUUAACCAAUUUGCAUAAAACUUUGGUGAAUUGUUUAUAUCUAUUGAUGUGAGCUCCCUUUCGUUUUUUAUAAAAUUUAGAUUUUACGUUUCCGAGUUGUGGGGUUUUAUUCAUUAAAAAAAUGGGGAUUUUCCAGUUUUCGGACAAUAAGUCAAGAAUGCUUUCACCAACUUGCAAGAAAUUGUGGUGAAUUGUUUAUAUCUAUUGACAUGAGCUCGCUUUCGAUUUUUAUAAAUUUUAGAUUUUACGUUUCCGAGUUAUGGGGUUUUAUUCAUAAAAAAAGGGGGGAUUUUCCAGUUUUCGGACAAAAACUCAAAAAUGCUUUCAGCAAUUCUUAUGAAACUUUGGUGAAUUGAUUGUAUGUAUUGAUGUAAGCUCCCUUUAGAAUUUUAUAAAUUUUACAUUUUACAUUUUUGAGUUAUGGGGUUUUAUUCAUUAAAAAAGGGGGGAUUUUCCAGUUUUCGGACAAUAACUCAAAAAUGCUGUCACCAAUUCUCAUGAAACGUUGGUGAAUUGUUUAUAUCUAUUGAUGAAAGCUCCCUUUUUAUUUUGAUAAAUUUCUAAUAUGACAUUGAGAAUUUAUUGAACUUUAUUUGUUUAUAGUCUGACAACAGAUUUACUAAGUAUCGCACAACAGCAAGAAAUCUUUAAUUGAAUAUAAAUUCAAUUCAUAUAACCAAUUUCAAGUUCUUUGACUACAUUUAUUCAGAAACCUAUAAUAUGUCAAAUAUUUAAUUACAAUCCAAAUUCAGACCUGAAUCAAGCUUGAAUAUUGUGUCCAUUUUUGCCCCAACUGUUCAGGGUUGGACCUCUGCAGGGGUAUCUAGCUGCACUCAGCGAAGCAGUUUAUUGUAACUUCCAGACAUAACUUGUGUGUUAGUGUAUGGAUCUCUCUGACAUUGUACCACAAGGUUCCAUAUCACAAAAGGAAUGCUGGGAUUGAUUUUGGGGGUAAUUGCCUCAAAAUUUUAGGAAUUAGGGGCCAAAAAAGGGGCAAAAAACAAGCAUUUUUCUAGUUUCAUGACAAUAACUUGUGUGUAAGUGUAUGGAUCUUUCUGAAAUUGUACUACAAUCUAACCAUGUAUUUAGAUUUUUGAUUUUCGGGCCCCGUUAUCAACUUUGUCCACAUUGAGGUCAAAAGGGUCCAAAAUUAAACUUUGUUUGAUUUCAUCAAAAAUUGAAUUCUUGGGGUUCUUUGAUAUGCUGAAUCUAACCAUGUAUUUAGAUUUUGGAUAUUGGACCAUAAUAGGUGAAUGUCCAAUUUAAAAUUUUUAAGUUCUUAGACCGCAUUCAUUCUGUGUCAGAAACCUAUGCUGUGUCAAAUAUUUAAUCACAAUCCAAAUGCAAAGCUGUAUCAAGCUUGAAUGUUGUGUCCAUACUUGCCCCAACUGUUCAGGGUUCAACCUCUGCAGUUGUAUCAAGCUGCGCCCUGCGGAGCAUUUUAUUUUAAGUUAAGGCUGUUGCUUGUAUUAUAAAUUCCAGCUUAUCCUGCAAGAAUGUCAUUUAUUGUCAAAUACAUCAUUAUUGACAUAUUUAUGACCUCACUGAGACAUCACAAAUGACAUCAGAGACAAAAUUAUCAUAUAAUUUUUCAAGGAUUGAUGAAUUUUUCAAUUUUUUUGCAUUUUUAGGAGCCAAAUAAUGGUUUAUAUUAAACCUCCCCCUGUGGUUGAUGACGACAUUCCUAACAAUAGAAAAUAAACAAAAAUACUAAUAUUAGCUUGAAUCAGAACAGAAAGAUAAGAUGAACAAUGUCACUAUUGCUCUAGAAGAUUUCUUGAUUUGUAUGAUUUGUUGAAAACCUGUUUAUCAAGUGGUAAUUUUAAGCCAAGUGCAUGUGAUACUGGUUCCUGGGGAUCUUUUUUUUAUGCCCCCCCCCCCCCCCUCCCCCCGUACAUCCCAAAGUUGGUUUCCGUUCUCUAACUUUAGUUUGCCUCAAUCAAAUGUUAUGAAACUUAUACACAAUGCUUAUUACCACAAAACACAGAUCAAGUUUGAAUUUUGGUGGUGUCACUUUAACCGUUCUAGAGUUAUGCCCCUUUACAAAUGGAAAAAUUGCUUUCUUUACUAUCUAUGAUAAUCAGAGGACCAGACAAGAAUGCACAAAAACAUUUACAUUAUGAGUCAAUAGUCAGUUCUCAAUGUAUAUGAACACAAGACAAAGUCAUAUUAUACUUUUCUAUCCUAUAUUUACUGUUAACUUUACCAUUGUUAGACAUAAGAGGUAUUGUAAAUUCAGAAAUUAAUGCAUGCAUUUAUUAUUGCAAUUGUUGACAGAAAUGUGAGAUUAAUUUAUGCAAUUUCAGAAAAUUUGAAUAUAAAUAAUGGAAAGGAGUUUAAAAUGUGGGUUCUGAUUAAUGCUUUACUAUUCCUGUCAUAUUUUUCUCAAUUGUUUGAUUUAUAGUAAUUUUAGGCUCUACGAAAUAUGAUGUUUAAUUUUUUGGGGCAUAAUUUUCUGAAAGUGUGCAAUAGUUUUUAAGCCCUUGUAUUAUAAAAAUGUAUUUUCAUUUAUGAAAGCUUUUCUUUUAUACUCUGUAGGUAUACAAUUUUGAUAUGUCAUAUCUUUCUAUAUCUAGAAGUUCUUUAUACAUAAAUUAUAUACAAUCUUUUUAUAUGCUUUAAAUAUUGGUUUAAAAAUUGAACAGUACUGUUCGUGGUGACAAUCUUAGUAAAAGAUUCAUAUAGAUCAUACAAUUGUUUAAAUCUCUGUUAACAGUUGAUCAUACAAUUGUAUAGAUCUUUGAUAACAGUCUUACUGUCCAUCAUAUAAUUGUAUAGAUCUCUGUUAACAUUUGAUCAUAUAAUAGACCACUUUCGAGUUCGUUGCAUUUCCUUCAAAAACUUUGGUUUUAAUUAACAUCGUUCGUGCAUUUAGGAGCAUCGUCACUUCCUUCCCAGGAUGAGCGAGAGGUUAAAAAAAUAUGAUGCUAUAGUACACGAAUUAUUCGCCAAAUUAAAUUCUUAUAAUUGAUAAUCAGCACUGCUGUCAUUAGGGAAUUGUGAUUAAGUACCUACAGAACAAACGCUAUUUCUAGUUUAUCCUGCAUAAUGACGAUCACGAAGAUAUUUGAUGAACCUCUAUCUGGCAUAUGAUUGAAUCGAUCUCUGUUAACAGUUGAUCAUAUAAUCGUAUAGAUCUAUGUUAACAGUUGAUCAUAUAAUUGAAUCCAUCUCUGUUAACAGCUGAUCAUAAUUGUUUAGAUCUCUGUUAACAGUUGAUCAUUAAAUUAUUUGGAUCUCUGUUAACAGUUGAUCAUAUAAUCGAAUAUAUAUCUGUUAUCAGUUGAUCAUAGAGUUGUAUACAUAUAUUGUUAACAGUUGAUCAUUGUACAGAUCUCAUUCAACAGUUGAUCAUAUAAUUAUAAAGAUCACUGUUAACAGUUGAUCAUAUAAUAUAUAGAUAUCUGUUAACCGUUGAUCAUAUAAUAUAUAGAUCUCUGUCAACAGUUGAUCAUAUAAUAUAUAGAUAUCUGUUAACAGUUGAUCAUAUAAUAUAUAAAUCUCUGUUAACAGUUGAUCAUAUAAUAUAUAGAUAUCUGUUAACAGUUUAUCCUACAACUGCAUCUCUGUUAACAAAUGGGGAUCAUUGCAUCUUAUUUUAGGGAUCCUUUUGUUAUUGAACUAAUCAAAAUAAAAGAGGGACCAUUUUUUUAUCAAUUUUUGACAAAUUACACAUUAUGAUAGAGAUUACGAUGUUUUCCACCUUGUAUCCUUUACUUAAGCUAAAAUAGUGUUAACAAAAACACCUUGUCAAAACUUAAAUGUCUUGGUGGACAGUGGCAUCUGUGUUGCAUGGUCAUAUUUAACUAAAUUACAUUGGCUAAAAACCUUCAUAUUGUGACUCAUAGUCAGGUAGUGUUAAUUGUGGCCAUUAGAACAAUGACAGCUUUCACAUUUAUUGUUACCCUCUCCGACCUAUAUUAAGCUGGUAUUUGGUAUAUAAAAAGUGAGAUCAGUAUAUAUAAGUGUGAAUGACCUUCUUUUGAUAUCAUUUAAGGUAGUUGACAAACAGUUCAAAUAGGGUUUCUUUCUGGUGAACUUAUUUGGAAUUGUUAUGUUGAAAUAUUAAAUUUUGUCUUUGACAAUUUCAAAUUUCUCUAUAAGGUUGUUAAAGUAAAAUUUUGAAUUGCAAAGGACAAAAUUUAAAUACAUGUAUUAACAGAAUUGUUAGCCUUAUACAGGGAAAACUUCUUGAAAAUAAUAAUAUGAGUAGCUACCGUUGACUCAUGUUUUAAAUGACCUAAUUAAAUUCAUUAGACAUUAGAAAACAUUAGUGAAAGUGAUAUCCCUUUUUAUACGACCGCAAAAAAAUUUUUGUGGUCGUAUAUUGGUAUGACGUUGGCGUCGUCGUCGUCCGGCGUCGUCGUCGUUGUCGUCGUCGUCGUCCGGCGUCGUCUGGCGUCGUCCGAAGACACAUUGGUUUUCGCACUCUAACUUUAGUUUAAGUGAAUGGAUCUUUAUGAAAUUUUACCACAAGGUUCAAUACCACAAAAGGAAGGUUGGGAUUGAUUUUGGGGGUUAUGGUAAUAACAGUAAAGGAAUUAGGGGCCAAAAAGGGGCCAAAAAUAAGCAUUUUUGUAACUUCCAGACAUAACUUGUGUGUUAGUGUAUGGAUCUCUCUGACAUUGUACCACAAGGUUCCAUAUCACUAAAGGAAUGCUGGGAUUGAUUUUGGGGGUAAUUGCCUCCAAAUUUUAGGAAUUAGGGGCCAAAAAAAGGGCAAAAAACAAGCAUUUUUCUAGUUUCAUGACAAUAACUUGUGUGUAAGUGUAUGGAUCUUUCUGAAAUUGUACUACAAGGUUCCAUAUCACAAAGGGAAAGCUGGGUUUGAGUUUGGGGGUAAUUGCCCUAAACGUUUAGGAAUUUGGGGCCAAAAAGGGGCCAAAAAACACAUUUUUUUCUAGUUUCCAGACAAUAACUUGUGUUCAAGUGUAUGGAUCUCUCUGAAAUUGUACUGCAAGGUACCAUACCACAAAGGGAAGGCUGGGAUUGAGUUUGGGGGUGAUGAAUCAUAAUGGGGGUUCAAAAAAUUUUGGGGGGGGGAUUUAUUUUUUUUUCCUUUUUUUUCUUUUUUUCCUUUUUUGUUUCUUUUAAAAUUUUCCAUUUUAAGUUGGUUAUUUCUGAUUUAUAUUUAAAAUCAAAUAAUAAUGAUAUGGUAGGAGAUACACACCAAACAGGAUGUGUAAAUUAUUAUAUAAUAAGUAUUGUGCAAUAGCAAGAAAUUUUCAAUUGCACAGUAUUGCACAAUAGCAAGAAAUCUUCAAUUGCACAGUAUUGCGCAAUAGCAAGAAAUCUUCAAUUGCACAGUAUUGCGCAAUAGCAAGAAAUAUCCAAUAGCACAAUAUUGCGCAAUAGCAAGAAAUUGUCAAUUGUACAGUAUUGCGCAAUAGCAAGAAAUAUUUAAUAGCACAGGAUUGUGCAAAAGAAGAUACUUCCUAUAAAUUGCUUAUUUCUUGACCAAUUUCAAUGGGGUUUUAUUCUUGAUUUCAUGGGGUUCUUUAAUAUGCUGAAUCUAACCGUGUAUUUAGUUUUUGGAUUUUGGGCCCCGUUUUUAAAUUGGUCCACAUUGAGGUCCAAAGGGUCCAAAAUUAAACUUUGUUUGAUUUCAUCAAAAAUUGAAUUAUUGGGGUUCUUUGAUAUGCCGAAUCUAACUGUGUAUUUAGAUUCUUAAAUUUUGGUUCCGUUUUCAAAUUGGUCUACAUUAAGGUCCAAAGGGUCCAAAAUUAAACUUAGUUUGAUUUUAACAAAAAUUGAAUUCUUAGGGUUCUUUGAUAUGCUGAAUCUAAACAUGUAUUUAGAUUUUUGAUUAUGGGCCCAGUUUUCAAGUUGGUCCAAAUCGGGGUCCAAAAUUAAACUUUGUUUGAUUUCAACAAAAAUUGAAUAUAUGGGGUUCUUUGAUAUGCUGAAUCUAACCAUGUAUUUAGAUUUUUGAUUUUUGGGCCCCGUUAUCAACUUUGUCCACAUUGAGGUCAAAAGGGUCCAAAAUUAAACUUUGUUUGAUUUCAUCAAAAAUUGAAUUAUUGGGGUUCUUUGAUAUGCCAAAUCUAACCGUGUAUUUAGAUUUUUAAUUUUGGGUCCUGUUUUUUAAAUUGGUCUACAUUAAGGUCCAAAGGGUCCAAAAUUAAACUUAGUUUGAUUUUAACAAAAAUUGAAUUUUUGGGGUUCUUUGAUAUGCUGAAUCUAAACAUGUGUUUAGAUUUUUGAUUAUGGGACCAGUUUUCAAGUUGGUCCAAGUUGGGGUCUAAAAUUAAACUUUGUUUGAUUUCAACAAAAAUUGAAUAUAUGGGGUUCUUUGAUAUGCUGAAUCUAAACAUGUAUUUAGAUUUUAGAUUUUUGGCCCAGUUUUCAAGAUGGUCCAAAUUGGGGUCCAAAAUUAAACUUUGUUUGAUUUCAACAAAAAUUGAAUAUAUGGGGUUCUUUGAUAUGCUGAAUCUUACCAUGUAUUUAGAUUUUUUAUUUGUGGGCCCGCUAUCAAAUUGGUUCAUAUUGAGGUCAAAAGGGUCCAAAAUUAAACUUUGUUUGAUUUCAUCAAAAAUUGAAUUAUUGGGGUUCUUUGAUAAGCCAAAUCUAACUGUGUUUUUAGAUUUUUAAUUUAGGGUCCCGUUUUUUAAAUUUGUCUACAUUAAGGUCCAAAGGGUCCAAAAUUAAACUUAGUUUGAUUUUAACAAAAAUUGAAUUCUUGGGGUACUUUGAUAUGCUGAAUCUAAACAUGUGUUUAGAUUUUUGAUUAUGGGACCAGUUUUCAAGUUUGUCCAAGUUGGGGUCCAAAAUUAAACUUUGUUUGAUUUCAACAAAAAUUGAAUAUAUGGGGUUCUUUGAUAUGCUGAAUCUAACCAUGUAUUUUGAUUUUGGACAUUGGACCAUAAUAGGUAAAUUAAAAAAAUUGAAGUUCUUAGACCACAUUCUUUCUGUGUCAGAAACCUAUGCUGUGUCAAAUAUUUAAUCACAAUCCAAAUUCAGAGCUGUAUCAAGCUUGAAUGUUGUGUCCAUACUUGCCCCAACUGUUCAGGGUUCGACCUCUGCGGUCGUAUCAAGCUGCGCCCAGCGAAGCAUUUUAUUCAUUUUGUUUAUGGCAAAGUUGUUUAUUUUCUCCUAUUCUGAAGUCAUUGUUUUUUUCUUCUUUUAAGGGUGCCACGAAAUUUAUUAAGGGUGCAGUAAAUUUACAAAAGGAGUAACAUUUUCCUAGUAUAAAAGGAAACCUGGUCGUAAUAUUAUGAAUCAGCUUCAUGCAUCUGUUGUCGUUUCAGACUACGCUUCUCAUUCAAAACAUGAACUUAAUUCAUUUCUAAAUUAAAAUCGUAUUGAGGACAUUUCAAUGGUGACGGCAAAAGAUAUAUAUAUAUAUAUAUUUUGACAAUAAAAGAUUUUAUUUACACCAAGGAUUUGUAUAUGUAUACACAUAAACAAUCUUAGUUUUAAACUGCCAUCUCUUUACCCCAGAAUAAAAAGACAAAAACCACUACAAAUGAUUGUCUCGUGGAAAUAAGGUUAUAAAAUACUUUUUAAAUAGUGUCUUCCAUGUUGCUUUGAUGUAUGACCUCGGCUCCCACUUCAAUGUGUUUUUUUGUAGAUUUUUUUGUUGCUUCGAGGACACACAUAUCCAUCUAUGUAUGCAGUAUUGUCAAUUGUUUUUGUUGGUGGGUCUCUCGCUUAUGUUUUCGUCCUUUUCACUAUCAACAAAGAGUUCCGUUAUCAGUUUAUUCAACUUGGAGUAUAUCUAAGUCGUAACUAUUAAGAUUAUCAUCCCACGAAAUAAAAUCGGAAUUUUCCAUAUUGCGUGCACAUUAAUGAAGCUUUAUUCAAAUGAGAAAUUAAUUGUAAUUUUCUUAAAUAAUAUUAAUUCUCAAUACACACUUCGAACAUGAAGAAACCAUAAAUUUACCGACAAUCAUUUAAAAAACAACUCAAUGCAAGCCUAUGAUGAAACUGUCAAACAACACUUAGAAAUCAAACAUUUACCGAUAAUCCUGCAGAAAAAACUCAAUGCAAGCCCAAUAAAUGAUGAAUAUAAAAAUAAAUAGAAUUUUAAUAAUUUAUAAAUAUCAAGAAUAAAAAACAAAGCCUAUCAUAAUUAACAAUUAAAUAACAAAUAAAUUAAGUUUUUUUUCCAAAUUAAUUAUUUUUUCAUUUUGUGAAUUGUAUUUUUGGAAAGAGUGUGGACACCUGUGGUGUAACAACUUCUUGUUUACAAGGUGUCAAUUAAAACUCAUUAUUUAUAACAUGUUCGUGAUUUACCUGGUCAUCGAAAAAUUCAAACCUAAUAUACAUGUCACACUGUGAAAUUAUGUCUCCGAGACAGGUGUAUAUUCAAUAGAAACCCAUUAUGUAACUAUCAAAUAAAAUGAACUCUGACACAAUUUAUCAAGUGUUAAUUAUUUAAUAUCAGUUUUUUUUAAUACAAUAUCAAAUUAUGUCUCUUUUUCAAUAAUACAAAUCUAAAAUCAAAAUUACAUUAAAAUAAAUAAUUAUAUAUGUACUCAAAUUAUUUAAUUAAUUAUGAUAAAUUUAACACUGAAACAGUUUAUGUUAUGCUUAAACAUUCGUCCUUACUUCGAGUACUUUUAAUACUAUUAUUAAUGACUUUAUUACCUAAGGAGAUCUCGCGAGGUUUAACUAGUGGCCGCGUGUUAUUACGGGAUUUUGCCGAGUUGCGAAUCUCUUGUAUUAUAUGUCUCUG
Long non-coding RNA from Mytilus californianus (California mussel), 9413 nucleotides. RefSeq lists it as uncharacterized. The record is from RefSeq and is a predicted model, not a curated record. Lineage: Eukaryota; Metazoa; Mollusca; Bivalvia; Mytilida; Mytilidae. The transcript is spliced from 3 exons.